CGGACGGGGUGAGUAAUGUCUGGGGAAACUGCCCCGAUGGAGGGGGAUAACUACUGGAAACGGUAGCUAAUACCGCAUAACGUCGCAAGACCAAAGAGGGGACCUUAGGGCCUCUUGCCAUCGGAUGUGCCCAGAUGGGAUUAGCUAGUAGGUGGGGUAAUGGCUCACCUAGGCGACGAUCCCUAGCUGGUCUGAGAGGAUGACCAGCCACACUGGAACUGAGACACGGUCCAG
RNAcentral lists this ribosomal RNA (234 nucleotides) under uncultured bacterium. Its description in RNAcentral is "partial 16S ribosomal RNA". It matches the Rfam family "Bacterial small subunit ribosomal RNA", at positions 104 to 334 of the family's 1533-position model. The record is from RNAcentral.